Molecule: ribosomal RNA, 1372 nt
Filed under: uncultured bacterium
Lineage: Bacteria
Description: bacterial SSU rRNA
Rfam family: Bacterial small subunit ribosomal RNA
Source: RNAcentral
GAUGAACGCUGGCGGCGUGCCUAAUACAUGCAAGUCGAGCGAACGGACGAGAAGCUUGCUUCUCUGAUGUUAGCGGCGGACGGGUGAGUAACACGUGGAUAACCUACCUAUAAGACUGGGAUAACUUCGGGAAACCGGAGCUAAUACCGGAUAAUAUUUUGAACCGCAUGGUUCAAAAGUGAAAGACGGUCUUGCUGUCACUUAUAGAUGGAUCCGCGCUGCAUUAGCUAGUUGGUAAGGUAACGGCUUACCAAGGCAACGAUGCAUAGCCGACCUGAGAGGGUGAUCGGCCACACUGGAACUGAGACACGGUCCAGACUCCUACGGGAGGCAGCAGUAGGGAAUCUUCCGCAAUGGGCGAAAGCCUGACGGAGCAACGCCGCGUGAGUGAUGAAGGUCUUCGGAUCGUAAAACUCUGUUAUUAGGGAAGAACAUAUGUGUAAGUAACUGUGCACAUCUUGACGGUACCUAAUCAGAAAGCCACGGCUAACUGCGUGCCAGCAGCCGCGGUAAUACGUAGGUGGCAAGCGUUAUCCGGAAUUAUUGGGCGUAAAGCGCGCGUAGGCGGUUUUUUAAGUCUGAUGUGAAAGCCCACGGCUCAACCGUGGAGGGUCAUUGGAAACUGGAAAACUUGAGUGCAGAAGAGGAAAGUGGAAUUCCAUGUGUAGCGGUGAAAUGCGCAGAGAUAUGGAGGAACACCAGUGGCGAAGGCGACUUUCUGGUCUGUAACUGACGCUGAUGUGCGAAAGCGUGGGGAUCAAACAGGAUUAGAUACCCUGGUAGUCCACGCCGUAAACGAUGAGUGCUAAGUGUUAGGGGGUUUCCGCCCCUUAGUGCUGCAGCUAACGCAUUAAGCACUCCGCCUGGGGAGUACGACCGCAAGGUUGAAACUCAAAGGAAUUGACGGGGACCCGCACAAGCGGUGGAGCAUGUGGUUUAAUUCGAAGCAACGCGAAGAACCUUACCAAAUCUUGACAUCCUUUGACAACUCUAGAGAUAGAGCUUUCCCCUUCGGGGGACAAAGUGACAGGUGGUGCAUGGUUGUCGUCAGCUCGUGUCGUGAGAUGUUGGGUUAAGUCCCGCAACGAGCGCAACCCUUAAGCUUAGUUGCCAUCAUUAAGUUGGGCACUCUAAGUUGACUGCCGGUGACAAACCGGAGGAAGGUGGGGAUGACGUCAAAUCAUCAUGCCCCUUAUGAUUUGGGCUACACACGUGCUACAAUGGACAAUACAAAGGGCAGCGAAACCGCGAGGUCAAGCAAAUCCCAUAAAGUUGUUCUCAGUUCGGAUUGUAGUCUGCAACUCGACUACAUGAAGCUGGAAUCGCUAGUAAUCGUAGAGCAGCAUGCUACGGUGAAUACGUUCCCGGGUCU